Rhea pennata is the source of this 1010-nucleotide long non-coding RNA. RefSeq lists it as uncharacterized. The record is from RefSeq and is a predicted model, not a curated record. The transcript is spliced from 4 exons. Lineage: Eukaryota; Metazoa; Chordata; Aves; Rheiformes; Rheidae.
GAGCAAAUGACUCAUGUUCAAGAUGUUUCUUAAUAGGUCCUGGGAAACCGUUCUCUUGCAAGAUAUUUAUGUAUUUAGUGAGAAGAUGGACAGGCACAAAAAUCACUUCAGAUCUGUCAGUUAAAGAUAACUUUCUGAAUGUGACCUACUGAAAUACUUUCCUGCUCACUCUGUAAGUAAGUAGCUCUGGUGAGUCUGCCAUUGCUCAGAACUUUCUUGAGGAGAAGCAGAGUGAAUAUGACUGAUCAGAAAUCUAUUAUCCAGAAAUCAUUUGGGAAUACUGAACCUGAAACCUGUGGUUAUUUCUACCUUCCACCCAAUAAGACAGCUUUAUGCAGCAGAAGAGGUGUGAAUUUAGGUCACAAAGGGACUAGAAAGAUUCAAAAAAUUGAAGAAGUAUCAAUGCAUUAGAAAUCUCCUCUAGUAGUGAGACUCAAGGAGCAAGAAGCAGAAUAAUUCAAAGGGACAAGAAAAGGAAGAGCGCUCCUUAUCUGUCAGUGCUUCAAGGAAGAGAAUUAAUAUUUGAGAAGAAACAUCAACUAGCUGGAAGUUGGCGAGUCAGACAGAGCUUCCAAAUAUAACCUGUGGAUUCCGUCCUUGAAGAAGAACUUCAAUCUAGAGGAUGUGUGCUGGGUUGUCAGUUCUGGAGCACAGCUAUGGAUAGCUGGCUUAGGUUUCUAGAAGCUCUGCAAACGAAGUCUGCAGGAGCCUCUCUCCUCCUGUAUGAAAAGCAAAUGGAAAGAAAUGAGAGAGUUAAUGUAAAGCUUCCAGGCACUAAGAGCUCUCAAGGGAACUUAAGCUGCGAGUGCUGAGGACAAGUUGUUUAGUGCACGAUUAAAUAAAUGAAAGCCAGAGCCAUCCCCCAAAGCUUCAAAAUGGAAAUCAGAUGAAGACUCUGAAACUCAUAAUGAACGUCCAGCUAAUUGGUAGACACUCCAUAUAAUAAUUUAGGAAGCUACCUGCUGCUUUCUUAACUCUGACAAACUCAGAAAGAGGGUUCAAGAAGAAAA